GAGGGUAGCGGAGAAAUUCCAAUCGAACCUGGAGAUAGCUGGUUCUCUCCGAAAUAGCUUUAGGGCUAGCCUCAAGUGAUGAUUAUUGGAGGUAGAGCACUGUUUGGACGAGGGGCCCCUCUCGGGUUACCGAAUUCAGACAAACUCCGAAUGCCAAUUAAUUUAACUUGGGAGUCAGAACAUGGGUGAUAAGGUCCGUGUUCGAAAGGGAAACAGCCCAGACCACCAGCUAAGGUCCCAAAAUAUAUGUUAAGUGGAAAAGGAUGUGGCGUUGCCCAGACAACUAGGAUGUUGGCUUAGAAGCAGCCAUCAUUUAAAGAGUGCGUAAUAGCUCACUAGUCGAGUGACACUGCGCCGAAAAUGUACCGGGGCUAAACAUAUUACCGAAGCUGUGGAUUGUCCUUUGGACAAUGGUAGGAGAGCGUUCUAAGGGCGUUGAAGCAUGAUCGUAAGGACAUGUGGAGCGCUUAGAAGUGAGAAUGCCGGUGUGAGUAGCGAAAGACGGGUGAGAAUCCCGUCCACCGAUUGACUAAGGUUUCCAGAGGAAGGCUCGUCCGCUCUGGGUUAGUCGGGUCCUAAGCUGAGGCCGACAGGCGUAGGCGAUGGAUAACAGGUUGAUAUUCCUGUACCACCUAUAAUCGUUUUAAUCGAUGGGGGGACGCAGUAGGAUA
This 671-nucleotide ribosomal RNA is filed under the name Staphylococcus aureus. Its description in RNAcentral is "partial 23S ribosomal RNA". It matches the Rfam family "Bacterial large subunit ribosomal RNA", at positions 811 to 1484 of the family's 2925-position model. The record is from RNAcentral. Lineage: Bacteria; Bacillati; Bacillota; Bacilli; Caryophanales; Staphylococcaceae.